AUGCUCGCUUCAGCAGCACAUAUUCUAAAAUUGGAACUAUACAGAGAAGAUUAGCAUGGCUCCUACGCAAGGAUGACACGCAAAUUCAUGAAGCAUUCCAUAUAUUU
RNAcentral lists this small nuclear RNA (107 nucleotides) under Saimiri boliviensis boliviensis (Bolivian squirrel monkey). Lineage: Eukaryota; Metazoa; Chordata; Mammalia; Primates; Cebidae. The record is from RNAcentral.